RNAcentral lists this ribosomal RNA (590 nucleotides) under uncultured diatom. RNAcentral describes it as "SSU rRNA". It matches the Rfam family "Eukaryotic small subunit ribosomal RNA", at positions 499 to 1091 of the family's 1831-position model. The record is from RNAcentral. Lineage: Eukaryota; Bacillariophyta.
GGUCUGGCAAUUGGAAUGAGAACAAUUUAAAUCCCUUAUCGAGUAUCAAUUGGAGGGCAAGUCUGGUGCCAGCAGCCGCGGUAAUUCCAGCUCCAAUAGCGUAUAUUAAAGUUGUUGCAGUUAAAAAGCUCGUAGUUGGAUUUCUGGCGGGAGCGGCCGGUCGCGCACUCUGUGCGUGAACUUGUGCUGUCUCUGGCCAUCCUCGGGGAGAUCCUAUUUGGCAUUAAGUUGUCGGGUAGGGGAUACCCGUCGUUUACUGUGAAAAAAUUAGAGUGUUUAAAGCAGGCUUAUGCCGUUGAAUAUAUUAGCAUGGAAUAAUAAGAUAGGACCUCGGAACUAUUUUGUUGGUUUGCGCAUCAAGGUAAUGAUUAAUAGGGACAGUUGGGGGUAUUCGUAUUCAAUUGUCAGAGGUGAAAUUCUUGGAUUUCUGGAAGACGAACUACUGCGAAAGCAUUUACCAAGGAUGUUUUCACUAAUCAAGAACGAAAGUUGGGGGAUCGAAGAUGAUUAGAUACCAUCGUAGUCUCAACCAUAAACUAUGCCAACUAGGGAUUAGCGGUCGUUUGUUAGUGACUCCGUUAGCACCUUAU